GCCGGAGUGGUGAAACUGGUAUACACAGCAGACUCAAAAUCUGCCGAGAGCAAUCUCGUGUCGGUUCAAGUCCGACCUCCGGCA
Molecule: transfer RNA, 84 nt
Filed under: Leptonema sp. (in: bacteria)
Lineage: Bacteria; Pseudomonadati; Spirochaetota; Leptospiria; Leptospirales; Leptospiraceae
Description: tRNA-Leu
Rfam family: tRNA
About the family: Transfer RNA (tRNA) molecules are approximately 80 nucleotides in length. Their secondary structure includes four short double-helical elements and three loops (D, anti-codon, and T loops). Further hydrogen bonds mediate the characteristic L-shaped molecular structure. tRNAs have two regions of fundamental functional importance: the anti-codon, which is responsible for specific mRNA codon recognition, and the 3' end, to which the tRNAs corresponding amino acid is attached (by aminoacyl-tRNA synthetases). tRNAs cope with the degeneracy of the genetic code in two manners: having more than one tRNA (with a specific anti-codon) for a particular amino acid; and 'wobble' base-pairing, i.e. permitting non-standard base-pairing at the 3rd anti-codon position.
Source: RNAcentral